Phacochoerus africanus (Common warthog) is the source of this 1563-nucleotide long non-coding RNA. RefSeq lists it as uncharacterized. NCBI's taxonomy places the organism in Eukaryota, Metazoa, Chordata, Mammalia, Artiodactyla, Suidae. The record is from RefSeq and is a predicted model, not a curated record. The transcript is spliced from 3 exons.
UUCAAGCAUGCAUGUCUUGUGGGAGACUGGACUGCUCUAGGGUUCCCAGUUAAUCCAGCAGGAUCUCUGCUCCCAUUCCAAGCCCUGAAAUGUCCAUUUCGAGUCUUAACGGGAAGGCUGAGAGGUGAGGCAGACUUCAUCCCGAGGGAAGAAGGACCCAAGACAGUGCCUUACCCCAAGCUGCAUCUCACCCAACCCCAGGAUGCGUGCCCUCACCCAAGCUGCUUCCAUUCUUCCCAGAAGAGGUGGUGCCUGCGCUGCCAGUCUCUAACGCUAAGUUUGGAGCGCUUGUCACCUGCCCAGUGUCGCACAGCCAGAACCCAAGAGAAGCUCUGAUUGGCCCCCCACUCCGAGCUUUCUGUGCCGUGGCACAGGGGACGCAAGCACAUCCACCCUCCCAUGUACUUCCCAGCUCAUUUCUUCCCAGGUGAUGAGUGCUGGAGUGGAAGGAUCCCUAGAUGUCGUGGAAGAAACCUGGACACAGAUCCCAGCUCUGCUGCCUGUCAGCAAGAAACGUGGGCCACACCGGUUUACCAACUCAGCCUCCCCUUCCACCGCUGAAGACUGUGAGAGGUUACCACUGUCACCAGGGUGAUGACAUCUUCUAAACAGACGAUGUGUGUGAAAGCUGCUGGUAAAGAAUGAGAAGAGUGAGGCAUUGACAGUGUUCCCCAUGGUCCCUUUACCCCUCUAAUGAUAUCUUCUCUCCUUUGGAUUGAAAAUUUGCAGAGUCUGAAAGACAGGAUGUUAUGAAACUGCAGUAAGUGCUUUAGAGACGGGAAUCAUUUUGAUACGCCGCCAUCUCCUGGGACCUAGACUGAUGCCUUGCACAUAACAGGUGCUUGGAAAGGUUUGCUUGAAUGAAGAAUGAAUGAAGGAAUUCAACUUAUCUGUUCAAGCAGUGGCCAUUUGCAGUUAUUGCUACCAUGCCCUCAAGCCCUAUAGCCUAUCCAGCAGCAGAGCCCUGGAGGUAACCUCAUAGGCGAGGGCAGCUAGUAGAAACUGGGCAAACAUGGCAAGGAGAGUCCAGCUUAUAGGUAAGAGGAGGCCCCUGAAUGAUCUCUUUGGGGACCAUCAGAGGCCUGAGGUUGGUGCAGGAAGAGUCAAAGGCAAGAACUAGGGAAGGAUGCAGGGACUUGUUGAUAAAUGGAGAGGAGUCUUCAGAUUGUUAGAGGAAAGCAAAAGCAACAAACCAAAAUAAUAACGGAUCCUGAUCAGAUGACUUUUUAAAACACCUAAUACACACGCGCACACACACAUACACAUUGUGUGUUUAUAGUCACUCUAAGUGAUGAUAUAUCUAAGGGGAAUAAGGUUGUAUUUGGUAUUGGGGGAUUAAAUGUUUCGUGUGUGUGUGUGUGUAUUUUCUCUAGAUCCCAGUAAACAUUGUCAUGGCUUUCCCUCCAUAUGUGAUAACACACAUACUGUUCAUUUCCAGCUGCAAUUCUUGAUUGGUUUUGGUACCAAAAGCACUGCUCGGGGUUGAGAUGAGAGAAUGAUUUAGUAUUAGCAAAACGUGGAUUCUUUUUUUUUCUUUAUCAUAUUCUUUUCCAUUAUGGUUUA